UACGUAGGUGGCAAGCGCUGUCCGGAUUUACUGGGCGUAAAGGGCGUGCAGGCGGUUUGUUUAGUCUAGGGUGAAAGCUCCCGGCUUAACUGGGAGAGGUCCUUGGAUACUGGCAAACUUGAGGGAGGCAGAGGAAAGUGGAAUUCCCGGUGUAGUGGUGAUAUGCGUAGAUAUCGGGAGGAACACCAGUGGCGAAGGCGGCUUUCUGGGCCUUACCUGACGCUGAGACGCGAAAGCGUGGGGAGCGAACCGG
RNAcentral lists this ribosomal RNA (253 nucleotides) under uncultured bacterium. Its description in RNAcentral is "partial 16S ribosomal RNA". It matches the Rfam family "Bacterial small subunit ribosomal RNA", at positions 524 to 776 of the family's 1533-position model. The record is from RNAcentral.